Molecule: RNA transcript, 2752 nt
Organism: Mauremys reevesii (Reeves's turtle)
Lineage: Eukaryota; Metazoa; Chordata; Testudines; Geoemydidae
Gene: POU6F2
Gene name: POU class 6 homeobox 2
Exons: 11
Source: RefSeq, a predicted model, not a curated record
GGAAGUUCCUAAAAGUGCAUGCAACAUCUGAGGAUCUAUGGUAGAGCUGUGUAAUUCUGUGCAGAGAGGAACAGUCACAUGCCAGGAUCCAAUGAUAGCUGGACAAGUCAGUAAGCCCUUGCUGUCACUGCGGAGUGAAAUGAAUGCAGAGUUGAGAGGUGAGGACAAGGCAGCUACUUCAGACAACGAGCUGAAUGAGCCCUUGCUUGCGCCUGUGGAAUCAAAUGACAGCGAGGACACUCCCAGCAAGCUCUUCGGGGCCAGAGGAAACCCAGUGCUGUCUGAUACAAGCACAGCUGAUCAGCAUCAGCCCAGUCAGUCCCACCCAGCAUUCCCUGUUGGGCCCCAGCCAUUACUGACAGCUCAACAGUUAGCCUCAGCGGUAGCGGGGGUGAUGCCAGGAGGCACUCCAGCCCUAAAUCAACCUAUCCUUAUUCCCUUCAACAUGGCUGGACAACUGGGUGGUCAACAAGGACUGGUCCUAACUCUGCCUACAGCUAAUCUCACCAACAUCCAAGGGCUGGUAGCAGCAGCUGCAGCAGGAGGCAUUAUGACUUUGCCAUUGCAAAAUCUACAAGCUACCUCAUCCCUGAAUUCCCAGCUUCAGCAACUUCAGCAUCUUCAACAGCUCCAGCAUCAUCAACAACAGCAGCAGCAGCAGCAACAACAAGGGCAACAACAGCAGCAGCAAACAAGCCAGCAGCAGCAACAAGCUCAGCAGACACAACAAGCCCAACAACCACAAACGCCACAACAGCAGCAGCAGACGCCACAACAGCAGAACCAAACGCAGCCCCAGAGCCAGACCCAACAACCGCCAGCCCAGCAGUCCUCAAACUCCCCUCAGAAACCCAACCAGUCACCAGGACAUGGCCUUCCAUCUCCACUCACUUCUCCAAAUCCACUGCAGCUGGUUAAUAAUCCACUGGCAAGUCAAGCAGCAGCGGCUGCAGCAGCAGCAGCCAUGGGCUCAAUAGCAAGCUCACAGGCCUUUGGCAAUGCACUCUCCAGUCUUCAGGGGGUCACAGGUCAACUAGUCACUAAUGCACAAGGACAGAUUAUUGGAACAAUUCCACUGAUGCCUAAUCCAGUCCCAUCCAAUCAGGCAGCAGGAGGAGCUCAGGGCCUUCAGGUGCAGCCAAUUACCCCACAGUUAUUGACCAAUGCCCAGGGUCAGAUCAUUGCUACAGUCAUUGGAAACCAGAUACUACCAGUGAUCAACACCCAGGGAAUAACACUAUCACCACUCAAACCAGGCCAACAGCUCCAUCAGCCCUCCCAGACGCAAGUGGGACAAGCAGCCUCACAAUCCAACCUUCUGCAUUUGGCUCACAGUCAAGCAUCUAUGUCUCAAAGCCCAGUGCGUCAGGCUUCCUCUUCUUCCUCCUCAUCCUCCUCCUCUUCAGCUUUGAGUGUUGGCCAGUUAGUCAGCAAUCCUCAAACAGCCACUGGUGAGGUGGAUGGGGUGAAUUUGGAGGAAAUCCGAGAAUUUGCCAAAGCUUUUAAAAUCCGGCGCCUGUCUCUUGGUCUGACACAGACUCAAGUUGGCCAAGCUCUAAGUGCCACAGAAGGCCCAGCCUAUAGCCAGUCUGCCAUCUGCAGACACACCAUCCUGAGAAGCCACUUUUUCCUACCACAGGAAGCCCAAGAGAACACUAUAGCUAGCAGUCUGACAGCCAAACUGAACCCUGGCCUUUUGUAUCCUGCCAGGUUUGAAAAGCUGGACAUCACCCCUAAAAGUGCCCAGAAGAUAAAGCCGGUGCUUGAGCGGUGGAUGGCUGAGGCUGAGGCCCGCCAUCGAGCAGGUAUGCAGAACCUGACUGAGUUUAUCGGAAGUGAACCAUCCAAAAAGCGCAAGAGGCGUACCUCAUUCACGCCACAAGCUCUUGAGAUCUUGAAUGCCCACUUUGAGAAGAACACUCAUCCCUCUGGGCAGGAAAUGACAGAGAUUGCAGAGAAACUGAACUAUGACCGGGAAGUAGUUAGAGUUUGGUUCUGCAAUAAGAGGCAAGCACUGAAGAACACAAUUAAACGUUUAAAACAGCAUGAGCCUGCGACAGCAGUCCCUAUGGAGCCCUUAACAGACUCUCUGGAAGAAAACUCCUAAAAAUGAAGAGAAGAAAAGAAAAGAAAAGGAAAGGAAACACACAAACAAAAAUUUAACCAUUUGGACUCUGAAAAUGCCCAUUCAUCACCCUUUUUAAGAACUCAAAUGCAUUCAAAGGGUUCCAGUUUCUUUAUGUUAUAACUGAAAAAAAGAAAACAAAGAGAGAGAAAGAGAACAAGAAAGCAAAAAGGAGCUAGGAAGGAACAAGUAGAGGCGUAUCAAAGAACUCAAGCUAUAACCAAAAAGAAAUAUGUAAAAUGCCUUUGCUCGUCUUCUCAAUGCUGGACCAAAGCUCAAUGUAUGUAGGUAUAUGCACAUUGUAUAGAUAUGGCUAAAUGUUGCUGACAAUCUCGCAAUACUAAACUGUUACUAUUUAAAAAAAAGAAAUACAGAAAUAAAACUGUUCAUCAGUGUUUUACCUCAGCACUCUACUUGUACCCAGUUAAUGACCAACAUUCAAAUAAGAAAUAAAAUAAGAGAGGAAACUGAUUUCCAUGUCAAUGUUUGACUGUAAAAUCUGUUUGGAUGACAUUUUGUAAUGAGCUUUUUGUCAUGUGGUUUGCUUGUUUCCAACUUGAGAUUAUGUGGGGCACAUUAGUUUAUUUAUUGUUAAAAAAAAGUGAUAUUACUAUUUCUUUUUUGUCC